This 815-nucleotide ribosomal RNA is filed under the name Xylariaceae sp. 1175. RNAcentral describes it as "eukaryotic LSU rRNA". It matches the Rfam family "Eukaryotic large subunit ribosomal RNA", at positions 87 to 929 of the family's 3401-position model. The record is from RNAcentral. Lineage: Eukaryota; Fungi; Ascomycota; Sordariomycetes; Xylariales; Xylariaceae.
CGGCGAGUGAAGCGGCAACAGCUCAAAUUUGAAAUCUGGCCUUCGGGUCCGAGUUGUAAUUUGUAGAGGAUGCUUUUGGCGCGGUGCCUUCCGAGUUCCCUGGAACGGGACGCCUUAGAGGGUGAGAGCCCCGUACGGUUGGACACCAAGCCUCUGUAAAGCUCCUUCGACGAGUCGAGUAGUUUGGGAAUGCUGCUCUAAAUGGGAGGUAAAUUUCUUCUAAAGCUAAAUAUUGGCCAGAGACCGAUAGCGCACAAGUAGAGUGAUCGAAAGAUGAAAAGCACUUUGAAAAGAGGGUUAAAUAGCACGUGAAAUUGUUGAAAGGGAAGCGUUUGCGACCAGACUUUUCCCUAGCGGAUCAUCCGGUGUUCUCACCGGUGCACUUCGCUAGGUUAAGGCCAGCAUCGGUUUCUGUAGGGGGAUAAAAGCUUGGGGAAUGUAGCUCCCUCGGGAGUGUUAUAGCCUCUUGCAUAAUACCCUUACGGGGACCGAGGACCGCGCUUUUGCAAGGAUGCUGGCGUAAUGGUUGUCAACGACCCGUCUUGAAACACGGACCAAGGAGUCGAACAUUUGUGCGAGUGUUUGGGUGUUAAACCCUCACGCGUAAUGAAAGUGAACGGAGGUGAGAGCCCUUACGGGUGCAUCAUCGACCGAUCCUGAUGUCUUCGGAUGGAUUUGAGUAAGAGCAUAACUGUUCGGACCCGAAAGAUGGUGAACUAUGCGUGGAUAGGGUGAAGCCAGAGGAAACUCUGGUGGAGGCUCGCAGCGGUUCUGACGUGCAAAUCGAUCGUCAAAUCUGCGCAUGGGGGCGAAAG